RNAcentral lists this unclassified non-coding RNA (370 nucleotides) under uncultured fungus. RNAcentral's name for it is "partial contains 5.8S ribosomal RNA, internal transcribed spacer 2, and large subunit ribosomal RNA". The record is from RNAcentral. Lineage: Eukaryota; Fungi.
AACGCAUAUUGCGCUCGAGGCUUCGGCCAAGAGCAUGUCUGCCUCAGCGUCGGUUUACCCUCAUUGCCCAACACCAUUGUGUGUGUGUGUUCGUGCAAUGGAUCUGGCCAUUCCAGUAAAGCAGCGCGCAUGGGCUUCAGCACAUAUUCAACUGUGUGUCUGUCUGUCGCAUGUAUAAUAGCGCACAUAAGCUCUGGAUUGGCUGAAGAGCAGAGGCUAACCAUGGACCCGCUAUGGGCCGCAACUGGGUAGGCUGAUAUUCAGCAAACGCUUAGUUGUUGGCUUGGGACUCUGGCUCAGCCCUCAACCAGGAAACCCCCAUAAUAAACCAUUCGACCUGAGAUCAGGCAAGAACACCCGCUGAACUUAA